UACGUAGGGGGCGAGCGUUGUCCGGAUUUACUGGGCGUAAAGCGCGCGUAGGCGGGAGGUGAAGUCCGGUGGGAAAGCCCACGGCUCAACCGUGGAAGAACGCUGGAAACUCACCUUCUUGAGGGCGGCAGAGGGAAGUGGAAUUGCUGGUGUAGCGGUGAAAUGCGUAGAUAUCAGCAGGAACACCCGUGGCGAAGGCGGCUUCCUGGGCCGCCCCUGACGCUGAGGCGCGAAAGCGUGGGGAGCGAACGGG
RNAcentral lists this ribosomal RNA (253 nucleotides) under uncultured bacterium. Its description in RNAcentral is "partial 16S ribosomal RNA". It matches the Rfam family "Bacterial small subunit ribosomal RNA", at positions 524 to 776 of the family's 1533-position model. The record is from RNAcentral.